CUUUAAGACAUUUUAGAAUUGUUUCUUACCAUUGUCUUUUACUUCCUGGGCUCUUCAAUGUUUGUCAUAAUUAUACCUAGUUAGAAGGCUUCAUUUGCUCUGAGUUAUCAUUGAGAACUAAAUGGAGAAGAAAAGAACUGAAGGCCUGAAGAUAUGUCAUCUGUAGAAAAGGUGAGCUGAACUUUUCUCUGUCUGAACAUACUUUGGGUUUACAAUGAGACAUUUACGUAUUUGUAUAAAUCGGUUAUACUCUGAGCUAAUGUGAACACAAACUUGGUAUAAAUACAGAUGACUCCCUCUCUGCUGCUGUGGGAGGUUCAACUGACACCUGGGGCUCAGACCAGUCUUGUUACCACAUGCUUGGUGAAAUUCAAAGUGUGUCACACAACUACAACAGCAUUCAUGGCCAACCUAUUUGGUAGAAAGGAUUGAAGUCAGAUGGGAGGUCAAUUUGCUGUCUAAAUCAAAAAAACUUAGCUCCUUUGCAGAUAAUUGAAGAUGCUGCAACAUUGCCCGAAAACAUUUUAUAAUAAACAGGUGAAAUAAGUGAUAAUGAAGGUGGGUUUGGAUUUUUUAUUUUAGAAGGAGAAAUUUCAUAGAAAAUAUGAAUCCUUGUCUCAUGAUUAGUGUCUCUCUGCAACAGCCCCAUCCUUCUGCAGGUGGCCUCUUCUCAAGCUUUCUUGGCAAAUCAAGAGCUUCUGCCUUUUGGAGGACAUCCUCUUGACCUCCCACCCAUAUCAGCUCUUAGAGGACAUUCCACAGGAACAUUGCCUUCUUGUCCUCCAGUAUUUUUUAUGGAAACAGAAAUUAGGUUAUCUUCCUUAUGCUCUAGAUGGACAUCUGAAAUCAUCAAACCCUUGAGAGAAACAGCCCUCAUUCUUUUAUGAGACAACCUGGAAGAAAACAGGUGACUCUGAAGAUUUGUCUCCAUAUUCUCUGGAAAGAUGUACUCUGUUUGCAAUAAGAGGGAGCCACAUGGUUUAUUAGAUGGUUAUUAAUUGAGCAUUCUGUGCAAAGAAGUUUGUGCCUUAGAGAACCCAUGGCAUUCACAGCUGAGGAAGAGUCCAAGGAAGGGGGGUAAGGGGGAGGAGCUGAAACACCUUCCCUGUCUCAGUUUGACCUAGAAUAUUCAGAAUCAAAACUGAUCAACAUCUCCUGUCACUGAACUCUUACUAGUUGGGCCCACACUGCUUCAGCUUUAUCAUCCCAAGUCUUACUGGCUGCUUCUGAGUCUUGCAGGCAGAGCUAGGGACCAGGACACCACCAGGGUGAUCCCAAAUCAUCACAUAUGAGAGGCACAUUUACAGACACGGAUUUCCUGCAAAGCCUACCAGAUGAGCCCCCAGCCCCUUCCAGUCCCAUUUCAUUAUGCUCACUCCAGAGCAGCCUUCUUUACCACACAGCUUAGCAAUUGAAAGUAAAUAUGUUGGGAAGGAAAGAAAAAAUAUUCCUGAAAGUCCUAUGUCUUGUUCUCCUGCGCUUAAUCGGGUUUAGUAAAUCUGUUACCCUGAUCAUCCCCUUGAAUUUCUAAACUAGAUUCUUCAAAUCUGCCCAAUCUCUAUGUCUUUGUCUUGAGAUAGGAACAAUGUUUCUUGCUUGCUCAGACUGCAUUGAGCUGUUGGGUAUCAACCAUGGAAUACCAAGUGGCUUUUGCAUUUCCCUGCUAAUAAUAGUUUGCAUUCGAUGCAUCUUUCUGGAAGGUUCAAACCUUGCCAUAAAUAAAAAGUUACUGAUUACAAUAUUUAUGUUUAAGGCAAUAUUGGGAUUUUCCAAAGCCUCUCAGUUGUUUUGGGCUCAACUUUUAUAGAGCUUCUCUGAAACAUGCUCGUUUACUCAUUCUUCUAGAUUUAGAAUUCCACCCUCAGUUGGAAUACAGAUGAUCCCUAACAAGUCACAUGAAAAAAUGAACUGUGGAGCCAGAAGAGUGAGUUCUUGGAGAACUAAGGGCCAGAGACCUGUGAGCAAGAUUUGAUAAUUUUAUAAAAAUUAAAAGACGAUUUGAAAUGUUAUUGGUCUUACUAAAACUUUUACUUGUGAACUGCAAUUGAUGACAUGAUCACUUGUGCCAAUUAUAAUUUUAUACCAAAGGACUGCAGAGCAUUGGAUGGGUUUGUUGGGCAGGUUUCUCACAAACGCUGACAGAAAGGUAUGACGAAGGAUGGGAGGACAAACUGGGGGGGUGCCAAGUAGAAAAACAGAAGCGAUGGCUAAGUGCUCGUCCUGGACUCUGCCCUUUGAUAAGGGACUGAAGGUCCCUUAUGAUCUUCUUUCAAAUUCCACCGUCACAGUUUUAGUCACAUCCAUCUAUAAUAUUAUUUACUAUCAGACUUUUCUUUAAAUUGACUCGCUUUUUCACUUUAGCCUUAUCCCAAGCAAGAAAGCCAGCCAGUGGAAGAGUUUAGCCCCCACAAAAGCAAAAAGCACCCAGCAAAUCAAGCAUUUUCUUGCAGACUUGUGCUAAUUUUGUUUAUUUGUUUAUUACAAGGUGCUCUAAACCUCCUGGGGUAUUCCACAGCUUUAAUGACUAUGUGUAACACCACCUAGCUAACACUGCUUUUCCAUUCAGUCAACUCAGUCUCACAGCAGUCCUCACAACUACGUGGUUUCAGGUAUUAUUUUACAGAGGAGGCUGGAGCUUUGGGAAGUUAAGUGGCUUGCCUACAGUCACAAAGCCAAUACGAAGAGGACCUGAAACUCAGAUCUUUUUUCCCUCCCAGUUUGGGAUUCUUGCUAUCACCCUAUCACACUUCUAGACCUGUAUCUCUUGCAUCUCUAUCGUUCUUUCCUCAAGUCAACAUACAUUUCUCCAGAGUCCUAAUGUCCUUCAUCUUACCUUGGCACAAUAAGCAAUUCAUUGGGACUUUUCCGCUUUGGAUUUGUUUUGUCUUUCUCAUUCUUUUGAGGCUGCAGAUUAGCAUUUUGGCUAAUCACUUGGGUAUUAAAAGUUAGACCCUCUGGGCCUAAAUCCUAGAACUACUCCUUGCUAGCUAUGCCAACAUUAGCAAGUUGCUUAACCUCUCUGUGUCUCACUUACCUCAUCUGCAAAAUGGAAAUUGAAAUAGUCUUCGUAGGUAAUGAUAGCCUUGAAGGCCUUACAGGAUUAUUUUGAGGAUUAAAGGACACAAUGGUUGUAAAGUACUUAAGUAUCAUGCCACGCAAUUAAUGUUAGAUAUAAUUUUGAGUGUUUUCUCUUUUUUCACCCCUUUAAAAAAUCUUCUUUUGAAUUCAGGAUUCCUUUUCCCCAUAUAUUUUUAUGGUGAAUGAGAAUAUCGGCUUAGGGUCUACUCUGUUCAUCUCUUGAAAACGACAUUAUACUUUUUCUUCUAAAAAAUGAUACAAAGAGAAUCCCCAGCCUUUUCCCCCUCUCCCUGUGGCUACAGUUUUCCCAUCAUUUUAAAAGGUUAUUUCUUUUCUUCAUAGCACAAUGUGGUGGGAUGAAGGGGAAAUGGUUUAGAAAAUUUUAAAUUGAUGUAUCUUAUUUGUUUCCCCCAGUUAUAUUGAAAAGAAGAAAAUCUCUCCAGUUUCAGAAACACUGGCCUUUUGGAUACUGAGGAGUUGGAAAUGGAAAGGGGAUUUUAAUGAGUUUCUCGGCAAUGAGGCUAGAGAAAAUAUUAUCCAUCUCCCCCUGUUCUCCAAUUCAGCAGCUCGGACUCCUGUUUUCAUCACAGUCCUGUUAGAUAAUUACAGCCCCAAAGGCCUCCUGUUCCUUCUUUCUGUGUUCCCUGAAUCUUCUUUCCCAGAGCCAGGACCUCUUGGAAAUUCUCAGCCUCUGUUAGUUGCCCGCUCUGGGAGCCCGACUCCUCACAUCCGUCAUCUCUUUCUUCUCCCCCUUCACCUGCUGUAGUGUCCCCACUGUCUCUCUUUACCUCAGCUCCUUACCAUUCCUUUCCCUCUACACCCUUUUCCUUUGGUUCAUAGUCAGGAUGUGCUAGUUGCAUUCAAGCCCUUUUUGAUACUAAGAAUUCAGGGGGACAAAUCCAAACCCUGGAGACUACUGUCUUCCCCUUAGUGAUGCUAAUGAAUAUAAUUCCUGAUCUGAAAUUACCUGCACUUUAUUUGGCUCCAUCUACUUUUCUGCCACUUACUCCCUGUAUAACCAUAGGCUACGUACCCUACCUCUCUCUGGGUUUGUUUACUCCUCAGUUAAAAGGAGGAUUAAAAUGGCAAUCACAACACCUUGCUACAGAUAUGUUAGGAAGAUUAAAUGGGAUAACAUGCAGGGUGCCUAGCCUUCCUGGCAUAUAGUAAAUGCCUAUAAAAUAUAACAAGUGUCAUGUAUUAUUAUUAAAUUGUAUCUACCUGGUAGAAACUAAUGGAGUGG
RNAcentral lists this long non-coding RNA (4321 nucleotides) under Homo sapiens (human). Its description in RNAcentral is "non-protein coding LINC01210:5". The record is from RNAcentral. Lineage: Eukaryota; Metazoa; Chordata; Mammalia; Primates; Hominidae.